Molecule: long non-coding RNA, 1748 nt
Filed under: Sus scrofa (pig)
Lineage: Eukaryota; Metazoa; Chordata; Mammalia; Artiodactyla; Suidae
Description: lncRNA (ENSSSCG00005003268.1)
Source: RNAcentral
AGAGUCAGAUGACCCCAGAAGAAUUCUGUUUAUAGGAAAUCAUUUUGAGAAAAGAAGUGUAACUCUUACAUUACAGCAGUAUGAUUGAUCUGAUAACUUACUGUAUUGGUCAUACUUUUCUAAAAAAAAGUUAUCACUAUGCAAUUUCUUUAAUAAAACAGAGGUUUUGAGUUGAAAGAGGAAGUAACCAAACCCUAUGACACAGCCUGUACAAUCCUGCAUGAAUCAGUGGAGAAGAACAUCAUAUCUGGGCAAUUUGGGGACUUGAGUACUAAUGCGUAUGUGUGUGUGUGUGUGUGUGUGUGUGUGUUUAUGUGUGGCCUCUAAAGCAUCCUGUCCAAAUCUACAUUUUUAUUUAAACUGGGAUUUGUGAUUUUUAUAGCAGGAACAUGUUGUGAAAGUAAAUCAGCAUGGCUUCAUGCUGAUACAAGAUAACAAACAAAAUGGGAAUGGAGAGGCAAGUGGAAAUCUACAUUAAUUAUUUUUAGUGAAAUACUUCUGUAGGGAGUUCCCAUUGUAGAUCAGCUGGCUAUGAAUGCAGCUAGUAUUCAUGAGGAUGGGGGUUGGAUCCCUGGUCUUGCUCAGUGGAUUAAAGAUCUGGUGUCGCUCUGAGUUGUGGUGUAGGUCACAGACACGGCUCAGAUCCUACACUGCUGUGGCUGUAGCAUAGGCUGGCAGCUGCCGCUCUAAUUCGACCCCUAGCAAGCUACCCACAUUCGAUACAUGUUUUCUGUAUUUCUAGUUAUCAUGUUACACUUCAUACUAUCCAGCAUCAGUUCAACAAAUACUGAUUGAGCCUUUACCAUGUGGAGGUAAUAUGGGGAUAGGGGUGGAUAUGGUCUCCACCUUUAUACAGAUUAUGAUAUAGUUGACAUUACAUUAUUAAAAAUGUAAAUAUUUUCUCUGGAAACAUCCAUAAUAUGCUGAAUUCCUUUUUUAAAAAAAUAAUUUUGUGGAAGAAAAGCCAGAACAGUAUGCUUCUAAUUUUGUAUCAAACCUCAGCCACCAAGAGAUAAAUUGUGGUGAAAGGAUUAUGAAGAUAACAAAUAGAUUAUGAGACUAGUUGUAUCUGGGUCAAUUAGUGGUUGCUGUUAAUUAGUGGUUGCUUAUAUUCAGUUGCUCUCAUUUGGGGAAUGUGGAGAGUGAGAUAUUCAAUGUCUAGUGGGUUUGGUGUGUUUCUUUUCAUCUGGUAGUUGUUACAGCCAUGUAUGGGGCUACGAACUAAAAUGGCACAUAAACCCAUGAUGUGAAGACUUUGGGGCCCUAAAAUAGUUUCUGUAAGAACACUCUGCCCCAUGUAUCAAAUAUUGUACCAAAAAAAAUCUUUUCAGCUUGUGCAUUUAAAAUCAGAAGAUAUCUGUCAUCCUAGGGUCCAUACCUCCUGUGUGUGAGACAUUUUAGAUAAAACGGAUUUUUGUGAGGGAUGCCAAGGGAAUGGUGGACAAACAUGAAUUUAAGAGAUCAUAGUUUUUGUUAAGCUAAGGAAGCAACAGAAGAAAUUUCCUGGGUUUUGUUCAUGUGUUUGUUUACAGAUAAAAAGAAACAUGGUGGAAGUUUCUACUGUGGCUCAGUGGUAAUGAUUCCAGGAGAAUGCAGGUUCAAUCCCUGGCCUCACUCGGUGGGUUAAGGAUCGGGCAUUGCCAUGAGCUGUGGUAUAGGCCAGCAGCUGCAGCUCCUAUUCCACCCCUAGCCCAGGAACUUCCAUAUGCUGCAGGUGUGGCCCUAAAAAGCAGAAGAAAAAAAAAAAA